UUCUUACAGUAUAUCAUUCUAAGUAAAAUCUGCUCAAUGUAAAAUAAAUAGCCGCAGAAAUCUGUGCUAAGGUAGCAAAAUCAUUAGUCUCUUAAUUUGGGACCAGAAUGAACGAUUAAACAAUUUUAUAAUUUUUUUCACUUGACUAACUUAAAUUAUAUUAUAAAUAAAAAUAUUUAUAUAAAUAUAUUAGACGAUAAGACCCUAUUAAACUUUACUUAAGUUAAGCUGGGGAAGCUAGUUAAUCAAUAUUUUAACUAAAGUCAAUACAAACUCACCCUAUAAAUUAGAAAAAUCAAGUUACUAUAGGGAUAACAGCGUAAUUUAUUUUCAUAGAUCUUAUUUUUAAAAAAGAUUGCGACCUCGAUGUUGAAUAGUAAUCUUUAAAGUGCAAUAACCUUAAAAGAGGGUCUGUUCGACCCUUAAACAACUACA
RNAcentral lists this ribosomal RNA (435 nucleotides) under Tekella sp. CG205. RNAcentral's name for it is "partial 16S ribosomal RNA". It matches the Rfam family "Bacterial large subunit ribosomal RNA", at positions 1829 to 2600 of the family's 2925-position model. The record is from RNAcentral. Lineage: Eukaryota; Metazoa; Arthropoda; Arachnida; Araneae; Cyatholipidae.